Molecule: ribosomal RNA, 300 nt
Filed under: uncultured bacterium
Lineage: Bacteria
Description: bacterial SSU rRNA
Rfam family: Bacterial small subunit ribosomal RNA
Source: RNAcentral
GCCUACGGGGGGCAGCAGUGAGGAAUAUUGGUCAAUGGGCGGAAGCCUGAACCAGCCAAGUCGCGUGAGGGAAGAAGGCCCUGCGGGUCGCAGACCUCUUUGGACGGGGAGCAAGGCCGCCGACGUGUCGGCGGAAGGAGAGUACCCGUAGAACAAGCAUCGGCUAACUCCGUGCCAGCAGCCGCGGUAAUACGGAGGAUGCGAGCGUUAUCCGGAUUUAUUGGGUUUAAAGGGUGAGCAGGCGGCACGGCAAGCCGGCGGUCAAAUGGCGAGGCCCAAGCCCGCCCCGCCGUCGGGACU